AUGCCCUCGCCAUGGGUCAGCGGUGCCAGUGCGUGGUGCACCAGGUCAGCAGGGAGCCCUGUGACCUGCAGCAGGGCCUCCACAGCCACCUCCUGCCAGAGGCCAAGACUCAUCAGCCACAGCCCGGUGAAGGGGGCAGCCUGUGCCCCUAACAGUGCUGGAGACCCCACCAGAAGGGAGGACAUGGCCCGGCCAUGCUCCAGCAUCUGCUGCCUCAUCAUCUCGCGUGACCCCAGCUCCUACCUCAGCGCUGUUGAAGCACAGCAGGAUGUACAUCUGCAGCGUGGACACGUGGAGGACGCAGUCUCCAAACUGCAGCUCAGCGUGGCCCAGCCACGUCCACUGCAACUGCCAGGGCUUUGUGCACUCCCAGCCCAGCAGGCUCUGACCUGCCAGAGACAGCACCAGUGCCAGAGACAGCACCAGUGCCAGAGACAGCACCAGUGCCAGAGACAGCCCUGCCCACCCCCAGCACACCCCUGCCCUCCUGCUGCUCCAGGCCAAGCUGCUGUGCAGGGCCUCGGGGCUGCCCAACACUCACUGCGUCUGCAGAAGUUGACGAACUCAUCCAGGGGAGCGCUCAGCGCCGCCGAGAACAACCUUUGGGGCUGGUCCAUGUGGCACAGCGGCGAAACAGGCCAGCAGCGCGGGGACAGGGCCAGCACCGUCACCUCCGGUGCAUCCACCACCGAGGCCAGCCCCAGUGCCUGGCACGGGGGCAGGAGCAUGGCUCAGGAUGGGCCUCGGGAGCCCUGGCAGGAACGUGGGCAGCCCCCAGCUCCCCACCCCAGCAGCACUCACCUCGUCCAGGCCCUUGUCCAGCUCCAGCAGCUGCCUGUCCUGCUCCUGCAGCUGGUAGAGGCGAAACUGCCGCUGGAGCUCCUCCGAUUCGGCCAGGUUGCUCAGCAUGGCUUGGGGGAAGCGGCUGGGGAAGCACAGCCCGAUCUGCUCCACGAUGGCUCCUUCCAGCCACGAUGGCCCUUGCACCAGGAGCCGGUCUGCCAGGUAGUGCCUGCCACAGGAACCAGCAUCUGGUCAGGGGCCAGUCCCAGCCCCAUGGCCAUCAGCCACAUGCCAGGAGUCAGACCUGGCCCCGGCCCCGGUGUCCCCCCAUGGCACAUGGGCCCGACAGCACCCAUCUCCGCUCUCCAUUGCCAGCAGGGAACAUGCCUCCACAGACCAGCAGCACCUGCGGCCACUCACAGUCCUUCCCUCCAGACACCAGAGCUGGGAAAAGCAAAGCGGGAGCACCACAGCCAUACAAAGCAGGGCUCAGCAUCGCCUGCACCUCCCCUGUCACGCCACAGCACGGACCCCAGGCCCUCUGCUCCCACGGGGACACAGGACCCCUCACCGGUAGAAGUGCUCAAAGCUGUGGGCGAGCUCCAGGCCACUGAAGACAACAAAGGGCUCCAGGAUCUGCUGCAGCUGCCCUGUGCUGCCCGCAGCCCUGUGGAGCUCCUGGAUCUGCCUGUCCAGGUAGCGGGCAAACUGCUCACUCACCUGCAGAAGGACAGUGCUGGCUGCGGAGGGGGCUCAGCCCUGCGGGGCGGCUGCAGGGCUGGGCUGGGGGAAUGGCUCUGGGGGAGCAGCUGGGAAAGCUCCGGCACUGGCGCCGGCUCCCUCGACUCACGUGCAGGGCAGUAA
This 1647-nucleotide long non-coding RNA is filed under the name Amazona collaria (yellow-billed parrot). Its description in RNAcentral is "lncRNA (ENSACOG00000000732.1)". The record is from RNAcentral. Lineage: Eukaryota; Metazoa; Chordata; Aves; Psittaciformes; Psittacidae.